Henosepilachna vigintioctopunctata is the source of this 71-nucleotide non-coding RNA. NCBI's taxonomy places the organism in Eukaryota, Metazoa, Arthropoda, Insecta, Coleoptera, Coccinellidae. The record is from the annotation of a GenBank genome assembly.
GCUUCUGUAGCUUAGUUGGGAGUACUCGACUAUGGCGCGGUAGGAUUCGGGUUCGAGCCCCGGUGAAGGCA